This 470-nucleotide ribosomal RNA is filed under the name uncultured bacterium. RNAcentral describes it as "bacterial SSU rRNA". It matches the Rfam family "Bacterial small subunit ribosomal RNA", at positions 30 to 514 of the family's 1533-position model. The record is from RNAcentral.
CGAACGCUGGCGGCGUGCUUAACACAUGCAAGUCGAGCGAUGAAGUUUCUUCGGAAAUGGAUUAGCGGCGAACGGGUGAGGAACACGUGAAGAAUCUGCCCUCCACUUUGGGAUAACACCGGGAAACCGGUGCUAAUACCGAAUAUUGAAACAUAAGUGGCAUCACUGAGUUUUGAAAGAAUUUUGGUGGAGGAUGACUUCGCGGCCUAUCAGCUAGUUGGUGAGGUAAUGGCUCACCAAGGCAACGACGGGUAGCCGGCCUGAGAGGGCGACCGGCCACACUGGGACUGAGACACGGCCCAGACUCCUACGGGAGGCAGCAGUGGGGAAUAUUGGGGCAAUGGAGGGAACUCUGACCCAGCGACGCCGCGUGCGGGAUGAAGGCCUUCGGUUGUAAACCGCUUUCAGCAAGGAAGAAGCGAAAGUGACGGUACUUGCAGAAGAAGCACCGGCUAACUAUGUGGCAGCAG